AUUGGGUUCAGGUAGACCUUAAAAGACUUGGCUAAGAUUCCUCAUUCAUGGCAUUUGGAUAGUUUGUCUGCUCCAUUUACUGGGAUUUGUUAUCAACUUACCAACAAGUGACCUGUAGAUGCUGCACAAUUCAGAUUUGGAUUUAUUAUUUGUUUGAUUUGAUUUUAUGCUUCUUCUGAUGGGAGUUGAGCUGCAGUCUCAG
Molecule: unclassified non-coding RNA, 202 nt
Filed under: Hevea brasiliensis (rubber tree)
Lineage: Eukaryota; Viridiplantae; Streptophyta; Magnoliopsida; Malpighiales; Euphorbiaceae
Source: RNAcentral